GCCUGGCUGGCUCAGUGGACUCAUAGAGCAUAUGACUCUUGAUCUUGGGGUCGUGAGUUCGAGCCCCAUGUUGGGCA
RNAcentral lists this transfer RNA (77 nucleotides) under Ursus americanus (American black bear). It matches the Rfam family "tRNA". From Rfam's summary of the family: Transfer RNA (tRNA) molecules are approximately 80 nucleotides in length. Their secondary structure includes four short double-helical elements and three loops (D, anti-codon, and T loops). Further hydrogen bonds mediate the characteristic L-shaped molecular structure. tRNAs have two regions of fundamental functional importance: the anti-codon, which is responsible for specific mRNA codon recognition, and the 3' end, to which the tRNAs corresponding amino acid is attached (by aminoacyl-tRNA synthetases). tRNAs cope with the degeneracy of the genetic code in two manners: having more than one tRNA (with a specific anti-codon) for a particular amino acid; and 'wobble' base-pairing, i.e. permitting non-standard base-pairing at the 3rd anti-codon position. RNAcentral also lists the same sequence under 2 other names. Lineage: Eukaryota; Metazoa; Chordata; Mammalia; Carnivora; Ursidae. The record is from Rfam by way of RNAcentral.